RNAcentral lists this ribosomal RNA (253 nucleotides) under uncultured bacterium. Its description in RNAcentral is "partial 16S ribosomal RNA". It matches the Rfam family "Bacterial small subunit ribosomal RNA", at positions 524 to 776 of the family's 1533-position model. The record is from RNAcentral.
UACGUAGGGUGCAAGCGUUAAUCGGAAUUACUGGGCGUAAAGCGUGCGCAGGCGGUUGUGCAAGACAGAUGUGAAAUCCCCGGGCUUAACCUGGGAACUGCAUUUGUGACUGCAUGGCUGGAGUGCGGCAGAGGGGGAUGGAAUUCCGCGUGUAGCAGUGAAAUGCGUAGAUAUGCGGAGGAACACCAAUGGCGAAGGCAAUCCCCUGGGCCUGCACUGACGCUCAUGCACGAAAGCGUGGGGAGCAAACAGG